UCUACAGGCUUAACACAUGCAAGUCGAGGGGCAGCAUGGUCUUAGCUUGCUAAGGCCGAUGGCGACCGGCGCACGGGUGAGUAACACGUAUCCAACCUGCCGUCUACUCUUGGACAGCCUUCUGAAAGGAAGAUUAAUACAAGAUGGCAUCAUGAGUCCGCAUGUUCACAUGAUUAAAGGUAUUCCGGUAGACGAUGGGGAUGCGUUCCAUUAGAUAGUAGGCGGGGUAACGGCCCACCUAGUCUUCGAUGGAUAGGGGUUCUGAGAGGAAGGUCCCCCACAUUGGAACUGAGACACGGUCCAAACUCCUACGGGAGGCAGCAGUGAGGAAUAUCGGUCAAUGGGCGAGAGCCUGAACCAGCCAAGUAGCGUGAAGGAUGACUGCCCUAUGGGUUGUAAACUUCUUUUAUAAAGGAAUAAAGUCGGGUAUGGAUACCCGUUUGCAUGUACUUUAUGAAUAAGGAUCGGCUAACUCCGUGCCAGCAGCCGCGGUAAUACGGAGGAUCCGAGCGUUAUCCGGAUUUAUUGGGUUUAAAGGGAGCGUAGAUGGAUGUUUAAGUCAGUUGUGAAAGUUUGCGGCUCAACCGUAAAAUUGCAGUUGAUACUGGAUAUCUUGAGUGCAGUUGAGGCAGGCGGAAUUCGUGGUGUAGCGGUGAAAUGCUUAGAUAUCACGAAGAACUCCGAUUGCGAAGGCAGCCUGCUAAGCUGCAACUGACAUUGAGGCUCGAAAGUGUGGGUAUCAAACAGGAUUAGAUACCCUGGUAGUCCACACGGUAAACGAUGAAUACUCGCUGUUUGCGAUAUACUGCAAGCGGCCAAGCGAAAGCGUUAAGUAUUCCACCUGGGGAGUACGCCGGCAACGGUGAAACUCAAAGGAAUUGACGGGGGCCCGCACAAGCGGAGGAACAUGUGGUUUAAUUCGAUGAUACGCGAGGAACCUUACCCGGGCUUAAAUUGCAGAUGAAUUACGGUGAAAGCCGUAAGCCGCAAGGCAUCUGUGAAGGUGCUGCAUGGUUGUCGUCAGCUCGUGCCGUGAGGUGUCGGCUUAAGUGCCAUAACGAGCGCAACCCUUGUUGUCAGUUACUAACAGGUUCCGCUGAGGACUCUGACAAGACUGCCAUCGUAAGAUGUGAGGAAGGUGGGGAUGACGUCAAAUCAGCACGGCCCUUACGUCCGGGGCUACACACGUGUUACAAUGGGGGGUACAGAGGGCCGCUACCACGCGAGUGGAUGCCAAUCCCCAAAACCUCUCUCAGUUCGGACUGGAGUCUGCAACCCGACUCCACGAAGCUGGAUUCGCUAGUAACCGCGCAUCAGCCACGGCGCGGUGAAUACGUUCCCGGGCCUUGUACACACCGCCCGUCAAGCCAUGGGAGCCGGGGGUACCUGAAGUGCGUAACCGCGAGGAGCGCCCUAGGGUAAAACUGGUG
This 1430-nucleotide ribosomal RNA is filed under the name uncultured organism. RNAcentral's name for it is "SSU rRNA". It matches the Rfam family "Bacterial small subunit ribosomal RNA". The record is from RNAcentral.